GGGGCCCGCUAACCGUAUAACCAACGAAGAUACCGAUCUAUUGCUGAUGUUGUUACUGUUAUUACUAUCAUACUGGAUUACUACUCUCUCAGGAGUCUUGAAUACUGGGACUAUAACAUUCACAUCAUCAUCUACAUGACGGGACUUGACAAUCUGAAUCAAACCUUCAUCUAUAAACCUCUGGAUAUCUCUCUUCACAAC
RNAcentral lists this long non-coding RNA (201 nucleotides) under Lathyrus oleraceus (garden pea). Its description in RNAcentral is "Pisum sativum (pea) long non-coding RNA (PSAT_LNC001198)". The record is from RNAcentral. Lineage: Eukaryota; Viridiplantae; Streptophyta; Magnoliopsida; Fabales; Fabaceae.